ACGUAUUCUAGAUUAGUAACUUGUCAAAGGUACUUGAUUAAAGGUAAGUUUCUAAACGCAUCGUCGGAAGUGUACGACAGUUUGAACUAUAACAUUAACUGUUGCGGUGGGAUUCCUCACUUUGUCGGUGACGCUGGGUGCAGCAGGUAGCAGCUUGAACUCCAAUCAUAACGUGAGUCCCUAGUUUAUAGAUUGAUUCUCAUAAUUUUUCACAAGUGAUAUUUCCUAUAACUAUUCCCUUAAUAUUCUUUAAAUAUAUGAAAGGUUUAAAUGUGUAUCAAGUUAAUCAUAAUACUUCCAGAGAUUUAUGUGAUUUUAAGGGAUUGAAUUUAUCUAAUUAUAAUACACGCGUUGGGGGGGUAACCAAGGGUCCCUUAAACAUAUACAAUCAGUUCAGAGGGACCCACAAUAGAGAAAUGGGCCUAGCCAGGUUGGCCGUGCACACUAAGAAAAGAUACCGAUGAGUGAAAUUGUCCCGCCCCCAAGUCUUUAUAUUAGGGUAGAAUAGAAUGUAGUAUGCCAUGUUGGGCUUCUUUGUUGGUUCUUCUACCGAGAUUGGCGGCCGUUGUCUCCGGUAGAAGUGGACCCACGAACGCCGUCGCGGACGGCUGGGAUCCAUGCAGAUCCCUACUUACGACGUUCUCUCAUUGAGCAGAAACGCUGAAUGGGAGAACGGGCCCCGCAUCCGCUGCAUAAACAGCAAAUGGGUCGGUAAGUUAGAAAGGUUGUAUCGCAGGCCACAUUAUCUCUUCUAGAUAUAAAGGGAUUAAGAACCACGGCAACCUAGUCCCCCAAAUAAGUCCACACAGUUACUCUCCACCAAGGAAGAGAGUCGUGGCAGUUCCGUGAGACCACAGUUCUUUCCGUACAGAGGAAAGCAAAGGCAGAACUCAUAAGUCCACAGUCGUUCUUAAUCCCACUGCCUUAAAGGCCACAGACGUUGACAGACAAGGAAGUAGGAGCGCUCCGUUCAACGAUUUCCCAAAUUGGUCAUGUAGGAAACUAUAGGAUCUAACCCCUGUAACAAAGUAUAAAUUCAUGAAUCAUAUGUAGAUAACACGUUACGGUCAGGACAACCUAUAUCUAGGGCUUCAACACUACCUUAGUUGCCUAGAGUAACUCGAAGGUCAGUGUUACAGCCGGCAGACACAGUACCGAGUUGCUGUGUUUGCCCGGAUUUAUUUCACUUUCCAGAAACCAGCUGCGGUGAUAGAACCUCAGAUUAGGAGAGCAGUUUCAUGCGGAGCAGAUCAUAGUUCCUCGACACACCUACAUGCUGGGCAAUCUACUAUAAUAUACUAAAUUGAUUACUAUGAACAGACCAUUAUGAUGAUGAACCACUGAUAUUGACACAGAGACGUGAAGAUGAGUGCUUUGACAACAAGACUGACUAGCUGAGCCAGCUUAAGAAUUAUGUGGUGUGUGGUGUGUGUGUGUGUAAUCCCAGGAGCUCUCUAUGUCUGCCAACCAUCUAUAUUCUUACUCAUAUUUGUCAUUUAUAAAAUAAAUUUGAUUAUUUAGUAUGUAACUUCAUUGUACCUAUCCUGUGAUUAACUGAAGCUGUUAGAAAGGUAGCAUUUGUAAUAAUUAUUUACGGUAAAUAAUAUUUAAAAAAUAAAUAUGAUUUAACAUUUAAGUAUGGACAAUAUGUUGUAAAGUACAGUGGGCAGGGCUGAACCCAUGAUCCCUCAGUGUCGAGUCUGGCCCCUUUAUGGUGUAGCUAGUUAGGCUUCAGCAGAUUUAUAUUCUAAUUUGGUAAUACUCUUUUUUCUGAUUUAAGAAAAUUAUACUAAUCAUCAAAACUGUCUGUACAGGCCAACUGUUUGGAUGAGAAGUAUAUAUUUGAUUAUUUUUAAGCUUUGUGGUUUCAGGCUUUAAAAAAUGUCUAACUGAAAGUCUAUGUCUACUGUAUUUAUUAUUAUUAUUUUAAUAAAUAAACUUAAAAAAAUAUUUUUUUUAUAAACUUCCAACCCCUAUCUCAGAGGUGUCAUUUUCAUAAUUCUUAGAUUACUAGUAGUCUAGAUAAUGUAAUAAAAAUACAGUUUGUGAAAUUGUAGGGGUAAGCACUGGACCUACUGAACCAAUUUUAAAGAUUAUUUUCCAAUAAAAAUCCACAUUUGAGUAUUAUAGGCCAUGUAUUCCUUCCCACGGGAACAGGAAUUAUGUGGGUGAAACUGCAGGGGGGCGAACAUACACAGGUAUUAUAUAGAGUUAUUCAAAAUUUAUCGAAUUCAAAAAUGUAUUUUUUACAACUACACUUUUUUGAAUAAUAUAUUUAAUUAUUGUAAUGGUAAAAAAAAAUAAUAGUAAAAUGUUAAACUGAAAGCUUUAGUUUUGGAAAAGACUACAACAAAACAAACUCAGCAAAGUUAGUAUUCUUUUAUUUUCAAAUAUCAAAGACCAAAUCAAAUAUCAUCAGCAUUUCACAAUCUAUGCAAAUAUUUUGAUAAUACACACACAUUUAUGAUAUGACCAGAUAACAGGGUCAUCAGUACAAUGUCCUAUCAGCUAAAAGCCUUUGCCAUCUUUUCUUCAGCACACCAAUAUGUUAUUCCACUGUAUUGCAGGUGCUAUUUGCAAUAUUGGAGUCUGCAGUUAUAGGGCAUAUUCCAAAUCUGUAAAAAUGGUUAAUAUUGAGCAUAUUAUAAAAUACAAACAUCACUAUUUAUGUGUAGUUUGUGUACUAAGAUAAUAUAGUGGACAGACAAGCUUCGCUUUGACUCAGUCCCUAUUCCUUUCCUAUUCUACACCCACCCAUUGGCUUGUCUAGUAUUAUUUCCUAUUCCUAUUCUGUAGCUCAGAAUCCUAGGAUUCCUAGGGUGGGCAUGCACCAAUGGAAUAUGUAAAUGUACCUAAGAGCGAUGACGAUAGAGUUCGUUCGCUUAAUCAUACUUUUAAAAAUGAAAUUCGAUUCCUUUUUGCUUAAUAGCCAGCAAACUUAACUAAACCACACACAUAGGCCCUGGAACACAAACAUAUUGGAUACGACAACAUGCAAGAUGUUGCAGAAAUCUACAACAUGUUAAGGUAUUAAAUAUCGUAGGUAGUGAGUUUAUGUCGCUGGACUCUUUGUCUGGUACGUCCAAUGAUAGUGUGUGUUAGACAUUGGAUGCUGGAAGAAAGAUGCUGUUUGAUUCCCAGUUCUUGGAGGAGUGAGAUGUUGUUUCGAAACCAGUGUUGCCAGUUGGAUCUUAUGAGAAGUUACCCGAAAUAUUAAAAAAGUAACCUUUUUGUGUAAAAAGUAACCUUUUGACUAACUACUCUUGCUUUUUGCGUUCAACAGCAUGGCUAAACCACCAUUUCAGCCUCUGGGGGCUAAAGUAAUUUUGUUUUUUUUUUUAAUAUCCGUCUUUUACGAAUACUAGCCAAGUACUAAAUUACUACAAACCGAAGGAGAUUUUACUAGUAAAUAGAAUCAUCUUAAGUAAGGCCCUGAUUGUUUGCCUUUUACUUAUGGGAUAAGAAAAAUACAAUUAAAGAGCAAGGAUCUAAAAAACAAUAGACGUUAAUUUCUUAAAUUCAUACUUGAUUUUUUUAAGAAAUUCAAUGUGGCUGCAACUUGCUUAUUUCGCAACGUCAAUUGUAACGUCUUCAUUUAAAGUGAGAUUGACACAGAAACAUCGAUGAGUUCUUGAGCAUUUGUUGAUUUAACGACCGUUCUGUUUUAGAUAUACGAAAUUGUAAGUUAAUUCUAAAAAUUCCGAAAUAUCACGUAAAAGUAACCUUUUUAUUAAUGUAACCUAAAAGUUACCAAUACAGUCAAAAAAUCACCUAAAAGGUUACAAAAGUAACCUUCUGGCAACACUGUUCGAAACUGUGUCCAGGGGCCUAAUUGUCUAACGCAAACGAUUGAAUUUGACAGUUGAAAUCGUACGUUUUUACUUGUCAAACGGCUAUUUCGGAUUGUGUAAGCCAAUGGAAAGCCAUCGGUUGGGCAUAGUUAGUUCAUUACGAUUAGAUCGUUAUUUUUAUACGAAGAGUGAAUGAUUUGAUAUGAUUUGACAGUUAUUUGCGAUUGUCUUCGAAUUGUGUAAAGUUUUAUGUUCAUGGCUUAUGUCAAAAACUUACGAUGGGUCUUGAGUCACCUUUGAUCGUAAAACGGACAAAUUGUGGAUGUCCAAAAUUCCAAAAUAAUUAUUUAUAUUUUAUUAAAUAUCUAAAAUUAAUAUUUUUUUCCAUUCUAAAUCUCUCAAUUCAGUCUCCCCGACCACAGUUAGCAUUUUUAGGACGAAACUUGGCGAAGUGUUUAGUGCUUUGUUUGUAAACAAUGAACUCUCUUAGAAAGAGUAAUAAAUAAUAUAUUCUUUGCAGUGAACCUAUAAAGUCAAAACAAUGAAGUUAAUUCAGUGCUAUUAAUCGAUUUAUAUAGGAUGCUGAGACUUGGACUCUGAGAGAAAGUGAGAAAAAGAAGAUACACACUCUAGAAAUGUGUUGUAGAAGAACGCUUGCAUAUCCUGGACACAGUUUCGAAACAACAUCUCACUCCUCCAAGAACUGGGGAUCAAACAGCAUCUUUCUUCCAGCAUCUAAUGUCUUACACACACUUCUUUGGACGUACUAGACAAAGAGACGAUAAGUCCAUAUCCUUAGAGAGACAUAAACUCACUACCUACGAUAUUUAAUACCUUAUCAUGUUGUAGAUUUCUGCGACAUCUUGCAUGUUGUUGUAUCCAAUGUGUUUGGAUUUGUGUUCCUGGGCUUAUGUGUGUGGUUUAGUUAAGUUUACUUAAGUUUGCUGGCUAUUAAGCAAAAAGGAAUCGAAUUUCAUUUUUAAAAGUAUGAUUAUGCCAAACGAACUCUUUUGUCAUCGCUCAUAGGUACAUUUACAUUUUCCAUUGGUGCAUGCCCACCCUAGGAGUCCUAGGAUUCUGAGCUACUGAAUAGGAAAUUAUACUAGAUAAGCCAAUGGGUGGGAGUAGAAUAGGAUAGGAAUAGGGAAUGAGUCAAAGCGAAGCUUGUCUGUCCGCUAUAUUAUCUUAGUACACAAACUACACUUACUUUGAGACUAAAUAGUGAUGUGUGUAUUUUAUAAUAUGCUCAAUAUUAACAAUUUUGCUUUACAGGAGAUUUGGAAUAUGCCCUAUAACUGCAGACUCCAAUAUUGCAAAUAACACCUGCAAUACAGUGGAAUAACAUAUUGGUGUGCUGAAGAAAAGAUGGCAAAGGCUUUUAGCUGAUAGGAUAUUGUAAUGAUGACCCUGUUCUGUUCAAAUCAUAAAUGUGUGUGUAUUAUCAAAAUAUUUGCAUAGAUUGUGAAAUGCUGAUGAUAUUUAAUUUGGUUGGAUUUUGAUAUUUGAAAAUAAAAGAAUACUUACUUUGC
Bicyclus anynana (squinting bush brown) is the source of this 5320-nucleotide long non-coding RNA. RefSeq lists it as uncharacterized. NCBI's taxonomy places the organism in Eukaryota, Metazoa, Arthropoda, Insecta, Lepidoptera, Nymphalidae. The record is from RefSeq and is a predicted model, not a curated record. The transcript is spliced from 2 exons.